CCUACGGGAGGCAGCAGUGGGGAAUAUUGCACAAUGGGGGAAACCCUGAUGCAGCAACGCCGCGUGAGUGAAGAAGUAUUUCGGUAUGUAAAGCUCUAUCAGCAGGGAAGAAAAUGACGGUACCUGAGUAAGAAGCCCCGGCUAACUACGUGCCAGCAGCCGCGGUAAUACGUAGGGGGCAAGCGUUAUCCGGAUUUACUGGGUGUAAAGGGAGCGUAGACGGCGAUGCAAGUCUGAAGUGAAAGCCCGGGGCUCAACCCCGGGACUGCUUUGGAAACUGUAUGGCUGGAGUGCUGGAGAGGCAAGCGGAAUUCCUAGUGUAGCGGUGAAAUGCGUAGAUAUUAGGAAGAACACCAGUGGCGAAGGCGGAUGACUGGACGACAACUGACGGUGAGGCGCGAAAGCGUGGGGAGCAAACAGGAUUAGAUACCCCUGUAGUC
RNAcentral lists this ribosomal RNA (440 nucleotides) under uncultured bacterium. RNAcentral's name for it is "partial 16S ribosomal RNA". It matches the Rfam family "Bacterial small subunit ribosomal RNA", at positions 338 to 795 of the family's 1533-position model. The record is from RNAcentral.